Perognathus longimembris pacificus (Pacific pocket mouse) is the source of this 157-nucleotide small nuclear RNA. RefSeq annotates it as U1 spliceosomal RNA. The transcript has a single exon. Lineage: Eukaryota; Metazoa; Chordata; Mammalia; Rodentia; Heteromyidae. The record is from RefSeq and is a predicted model, not a curated record.
AUAAUUACCUGGCAGGGGAGAUACCAUGAUCACGAAGGUGGUUUUCAAGGGCAAGGUUUAUCCAUUGCAUUCCAGUUGUGCUGACCCCUGCGAUUUCCCCAAAUGUGGAAACUGCAUAAUUUGUGGUAGUGAGGGACUGCGUUCGCGCUCUGCCCUG